Molecule: small RNA, 958 nt
Filed under: Pongo abelii (Sumatran orangutan)
Lineage: Eukaryota; Metazoa; Chordata; Mammalia; Primates; Hominidae
Description: retained intron
Source: RNAcentral
UAGGCAAAGAUGCUUGGUUAAUUACAGUAGAAAUUAAAAUCAGCUAACUCUCAGUUCAGUCCUGUGAAUUAGGCCGACUUUUUCUACAGAAUCACUGAACUUCAGCUCAAACUUCAGAGCGCCCUCACUGAACUAGAACAACUCCGCAAAUCACGACAGCAUCAAAUGCAGCUUGUUGAUUCCAUAGUUCGUCAGCGUGAUAUGUACCGUAUUUUAUUGUCACAAACAACAGGAGUUGCCAUUCCAUUACAUGCUUCAAGCUUAGAUGAUAUUUCUCUUGCAUCAACUCCAAAACGUCCAAGUACAUCACAGACUGUUUCCACUCCUGCUCCAGUACCUGUUAUUGAAUCAACAGAGGCUAUAGAGGCUAAGGCCGCCCUUAAACAGGUAAAGAUCACACCUUUGUCCUGGGUUAGGUUUUUAGAGAACACAGUAUUACUUUCUCAUAAUCUCCAAUAUUUAGUUGCAGGAAAUUUUUGAGAACUACAAAAAAGAAAAAGCAGAAAAUGAAAAAAUACAAAAUGAGCAGCUUGAGAAACUUCAAGAACAAGUUACAGAUUUGCGAUCACAAAAUACCAAAAUUUCUACCCAGCUUGAUUUUGCUUCUAAACGUUAUGAAAUGCUGCAAGAUAAUGUUGAAGGAUAUCGUCGAGAAAUAACAUCACUUCAUGAGAGAAAUCAGAAACUCACUGCCACAACUCAAAAGCAAGAACAGAUUAUCAAUACGAUGACUCAAGAUUUGAGAGGAGCAAAUGAGAAGCUAGCUGUCGCAGAAGUAAGAGCAGAAAAUUUGAAGAAGGAAAAGGAAAUGCUUAAAUUGUCUGAAGUUCGUCUUUCUCAGCAAAGAGAGUCUUUGUUAGCUGAACAAAGGGGGCAAAACUUACUGCUAACUAAUCUGCAAACAAUUCAGGGAAUACUGGAGCGAUCUGAAACAGAAACCAAACAAAGGCUUAGUAGC